UACGUAGGGUGCAAGCGUUGUCCGGAAUUAUUGGGCGUAAAGAGCUCGUAGGCGGUCUGUCGCGUCGGCUGUGAAAACUCGGGGCUCAACUCCGAGCUUGCAGUCGAUACGGGCAGGCUAGAGUUCGGCAGGGGAGACUGGAAUUCCUGGUGUAGCGGUGAAAUGCGCAGAUAUCGGGAGGAACACCUGUGGCGAAAGCGGCUCACUGGACCACAACUGACGCUGAGGCGCGAAAGCAUGGGGAGCGAACAGG
This 253-nucleotide ribosomal RNA is filed under the name uncultured bacterium. RNAcentral describes it as "partial 16S ribosomal RNA". It matches the Rfam family "Bacterial small subunit ribosomal RNA", at positions 524 to 776 of the family's 1533-position model. The record is from RNAcentral.